AUUUCUCUGAGAUGUUUGUCGGCGGACGAGUCCCCUGAGCCGAUAUUUCAAACUUAAAGAAUGUAGCGUAAUGUAGUUGGUGAGCAUGCUCGGUUCGUCCGAGAAGCCUUAAAAUUGCAGCGUUGCGUUCACCUUGAACCAAGGGUUCAAGGGUUAUAGUCUGCGGCGGCAUCUCGGAGAUUCC
Molecule: non-coding RNA, 184 nt
Filed under: Musicola paradisiaca
Lineage: Bacteria; Pseudomonadati; Pseudomonadota; Gammaproteobacteria; Enterobacterales; Pectobacteriaceae
Also listed under: 1 other name
Description: 6S RNA
Rfam family: 6S / SsrS RNA
About the family: E. coli 6S RNA was the first non coding RNA to be sequenced, but its function was unknown until recently.
Source: RNAcentral